This 238-nucleotide unclassified non-coding RNA is filed under the name uncultured Agaricomycetes. RNAcentral's name for it is "sequence contains ITS1". The record is from RNAcentral. Lineage: Eukaryota; Fungi; Basidiomycota; Agaricomycetes.
UUGAAUGUUUCUUGAUGGGUUGUAGCUGGCCACUUGUGGCAUGUGCACACCUGUCUUGGCUCUAUUCAUCCACCUGUGCACCUCUUGUAGUCUUGCUUUUGAGGUAAAUGGGAAUGUGACUUGCAUUGUCGAGUUGUAGACCCAUUCUCAAAGACUAUGUCUUUUGAUAUAUUAAACCAGUAGUCUGUCAUUGAAUGUAUGUAUUCACUGAGCCCUUGUGGCCAAUGAAAUUUCUAUA